ACUCAAAGGAAUUGACGGGGGCCCGCACAAGCGGAGGAACAUGUGGUUUAAUUCGAUGAUACGCGAGGAACCUUACCCGGGCUUGAAAUGCAGAGGAAUGACUUGGAAACAGGUCCGCCAGCAAUGGUCUCUGUGUAGGUGCUGCAUGGUUGUCGUCAGCUCGUGCCGUGAGGUGUCGGCUUAAGUGCCAUAACGAGCGCAACCCCUAUCAUUAGUUACUAACAGGUUAAGCUGAGGACUCUAGUGAGACUGCCACCGUAAGGUGUGAGGAAGGUGGGGAUGACGUCAAAUCAGCACGGCCCUUACGUCCGGGGCGACACACGUGUUACAAUGGGGGGUACAGAGGGUUGCUACCUGGUGACAGGAUGCUAAUCUCUUAAAGCCUCUCUCAGUUCGGAUCGAAGUCUGCAACUCGACUUCGUGAAGCUGGAUUCGCUAGUAAUCGCGCAUCAGCCAUGGCGCGGUGAAUACGUUCCCGGGCCUUGCACACACCGCCCGU
Molecule: ribosomal RNA, 499 nt
Filed under: uncultured bacterium
Lineage: Bacteria
Description: partial 16S ribosomal RNA
Rfam family: Bacterial small subunit ribosomal RNA
Source: RNAcentral